GAUGAAGAACGUAGCGAAAUGCGAUAAGUAAUGUGAAUUGCAGAAUUCAGUGAAUCAUCGAAUCUUUGAACGCACAUUGCGCCCGCCAGUAUUCUGGCGGGCAUGCCUGUUCGAGCGUCAUUACAACCCUCAGGCCCCCGGGCCUGGCGUUGGGGAUCGGCGGAGCCCCCCGUGGGCACACGCCGUCCCCCAAAUGCAGUGGCGGUCCCGCCGCAGCUUCCAUCGCGUAGUAGCUAACACCUCGCGACUGGACAGCGGCGCGGCCACGCCGUAAAACACCCAACUCUUCUGAAGUUGACCUCGAAUCAGGUAGGAAUACCCGCUGAACUUAAGCAUAUCAAUAAGCGGAGGA
RNAcentral lists this unclassified non-coding RNA (352 nucleotides) under soil metagenome. RNAcentral's name for it is "partial contains 5.8S ribosomal RNA, internal transcribed spacer 2, and large subunit ribosomal RNA". The stretch from base 1 to 120 matches the Rfam family "5.8S ribosomal RNA", at positions 35 to 154 of the family's 154-position model. The record is from RNAcentral.